This 393-nucleotide ribosomal RNA is filed under the name Furcifer voeltzkowi. Its description in RNAcentral is "partial large subunit ribosomal RNA". It matches the Rfam family "Bacterial large subunit ribosomal RNA", at positions 1976 to 2597 of the family's 2925-position model. The record is from RNAcentral. Lineage: Eukaryota; Metazoa; Chordata; Lepidosauria; Squamata; Chamaeleonidae.
UUAAAUGAGGACGCGUAUGAAAGGCAACAUGAGAGAAGACCUGUCUCCUAAGGGAUGCCAAUGAAAUUGAACUGCCAGUUCAAAAGCUGGUAUGAAAAAGCAAGACAAAAAGACCCUGUGGAACUUUAAUUAACUGCUUUACAUAAUAUAAACCAGUAAUUUCAGUUGGGACAACUUUAGAAAAAAUAAACUUCCUAAUUUUACUAGACUAACCAGUCAAAACAAAAAUGACCCAGUAAUACUGAUUAACGAAACAAGCUACCCCAGGGAUAACAGCGCCACCUUCUCAAAGAGUUCAUAUCAACAAGAAGAUCUACGACCUCGAUGUUGGAUCAGGGUACCCAGACGGUGCAGCAGCUGUCAAUGGUUCGUUUGUUCAACGAUUAAUACCCU